Molecule: ribosomal RNA, 253 nt
Filed under: uncultured bacterium
Lineage: Bacteria
Description: partial 16S ribosomal RNA
Rfam family: Bacterial small subunit ribosomal RNA
Source: RNAcentral
UACGAAGGGGGCUAGCGUUGCUCGGAAUUACUGGGCGUAAAGCGCACGUAGGCGGCUCUUUAAGUCGGGGGUGAAAUCCUGGAGCUCAACUCCAGAACUGCCUUCGAUACUGUAGAGCUUGAGUUCGGGAGAGGUGAGUGGAACUGCGAGUGUAGAGGUGAAAUUCGUAGAUAUUCGCAAGAACACCAGUGGCGAAGGCGGCUCACUGGCCCGAUACUGACGCUGAGGUGCGAAAGCGUGGGGAGCAAACGGG